AGCGAACGCUGGCGGCAGGCCUAACACAUGCAAGUCGAACGAACCUUUCGGGGUUAGUGGCGGACGGGUGAGUAACACGUGGGAACGUGCCCUUAGGUUCGGAAUAACUCAGGGAAACUUGUGCUAAUACCGAAUGUGCCCUUCGGGGGAAAGAUUUAUCGCCUUUAGAGCGGCCCGCGUCUGAUUAGCUAGUUGGUUGAGGUAAUGGCUCACCAAGGCGACGAUCAGUAGCUGGUCUGAGAGGAUGAUCAGCCACAUUGGGACUGAGACACGGCCCAAACUCCUACGGGAAGCAGCAGUGGGGAAUCUUGCGCAAUGGGCGAAAGCCUGACGCAGCCAUGCCGCGUGAAUGAUGAAGGUCUUAGGAUUGUAAAAUUCUUUCACCGGGGACGAUAAUGACGGUACCCGGAGAAGAAGCCCCGGCUAACUUCGUG
This 434-nucleotide ribosomal RNA is filed under the name uncultured bacterium. Its description in RNAcentral is "partial 16S ribosomal RNA". It matches the Rfam family "Bacterial small subunit ribosomal RNA", at positions 29 to 507 of the family's 1533-position model. The record is from RNAcentral.